RNAcentral lists this ribosomal RNA (570 nucleotides) under Yarrowia deformans. RNAcentral's name for it is "partial 26S ribosomal RNA". It matches the Rfam family "Eukaryotic large subunit ribosomal RNA", at positions 66 to 664 of the family's 3401-position model. The record is from RNAcentral. Lineage: Eukaryota; Fungi; Ascomycota; Dipodascomycetes; Dipodascales.
CACACGGGGGAUCGCCUCAAGACAAGGCGAGUGAAGCGGCAAAAGCUCAAAUUUGAAACCCUCGGGAUUGUAAUUUGAAGAUUUGGCAUUGGAGAAAGCUAACCCGAGUUACUUGCAAUAGUACGUCAUAGAGGGUGACAACCCCGUCUGGCUAACCGUUCUCCAUGUAUUGCCUUAUCAAAGAGUCGAGUUGUUUGGGAAUGCAGCUCAUAGUGGGUGGUAAACUCCAUCUAAAGCUAAAUACUGGUGAGAGACCGAUAGCGAACAAGUACUGUGAAGGAAAGGUGAAAAGAACUUUGAAAAGAGAGUGAAAUAGUAUGUGAAAUUGUUGAUAGGGAAGGAAAUGAGUGGAGAGUGGAUUAGGUUUCAGCCUUCUUUCGAGGGGGUGCGCUACCAACGCCGAGUCAUUGAUAGCGAGACAGGAGUUAUAAACGGACGGCACUUGUGCUAUUCUCCUAACCCCUCUACUGCCACCGACGACAUAAUCGACCCAUUUCACCCGUCUGAACAACGGGACCCACCAGGGGGGCCCGCCGCGAAGGCCGGUCCACGCCCCUUAGCCNCGGAAAC